AUCGCUUCUCUGUCUUUUGGCUAAGAUCAAGUGUAGUAUCUGUUCUUAUCAAAUCCUGCCUUCUGCCAUGUCUAAGCAUUU
The sequence is a small nuclear RNA, 81 nucleotides long. Its record names the gene U2. It matches the Rfam family "U2 spliceosomal RNA". Rfam says of the family: U2 is a small nuclear RNA (snRNA) component of the spliceosome (involved in pre-mRNA splicing). Complementary binding between U2 snRNA (in an area lying towards the 5' end but 3' to hairpin I) and the branchpoint sequence (BPS) of the intron results the bulging out of an unpaired adenosine, on the BPS, which initiates a nucleophilic attack at the intronic 5' splice site, thus starting the first of two transesterification reactions that mediate splicing. The record is from Ensembl.